Molecule: transfer RNA, 72 nt
Filed under: Friedmanniomyces endolithicus
Lineage: Eukaryota; Fungi; Ascomycota; Dothideomycetes; Mycosphaerellales; Teratosphaeriaceae
Description: tRNA-Asn
Rfam family: tRNA
About the family: Transfer RNA (tRNA) molecules are approximately 80 nucleotides in length.
Source: RNAcentral
UCUUUGAUAGCUCAGUGGUAGAGCAGUUGGCUGUUAACCAAUUUGUCGUGAGUUCAACUCUCACUCAGAGAU